AGAACUGGCGAUGCGGGAU
This 19-nucleotide small nuclear RNA is filed under the name Arabidopsis thaliana (thale cress). RNAcentral describes it as "snRNA_06465". The record is from RNAcentral. Lineage: Eukaryota; Viridiplantae; Streptophyta; Magnoliopsida; Brassicales; Brassicaceae.